This 602-nucleotide ribosomal RNA is filed under the name uncultured fungus. Its description in RNAcentral is "eukaryotic LSU rRNA". The stretch from base 223 to 376 matches the Rfam family "5.8S ribosomal RNA". The record is from RNAcentral. Lineage: Eukaryota; Fungi.
AGUAAAAGUCGUAACAAGGUCUCCGUUGGUGAACCAGCGGAGGGAUCAUUACUGAGUUAUCCAAAACUCCCAACCCUUUGUGAACUUACCACUGUUGCCUCGGCGAGUUGUGCUACCCUAUAGCUACCCUGUAGCUACCCGGGAACACAUUCCAAGCUCGCCAGAGGACCUACCAACUCUGUUUUAUACUGUAUCUCUGAACUUUAUAACUAAAUAAGUUAAAACUUUCAACAACGGAUCUCUUGGUUCUGGCAUCGAUGAAGAACGCAGCGAAAUGCGAUAAGUAAUGUGAAUUGCAGAAUUCAGUGAAUCAUCGAAUCUUUGAACGCGCAUUGCGCCCAUUAGUAUUCUAGUGGGCAUGCCUAUUCGAGCGUCAUUUCAACCCUUAAGCCUCAGUUGCUUAGCAUUGGGACUCUACGACCUAUUAUAGCGUAGUUCCUUAAAGUUAGUGGCGGAGUUAUAGCACACUCUAAGCGUAGUAAUUCUCUCUCGCUUCUUGUAGUGGUUAUAGUUGCUAGCCAUAAAACACCCCCUAUUUUAAUGGUUGACCUCGGAUUAGGUAGGAAUACCCGCUGAACUUAAGCAUAUCAAUAAGCGGAGGA